UCAAGUUAUUAAGGGUGCAGGGCGGAUGCCUUGGCACUAGGAGCCGAUGAAGGACGUGAUAAGCUGCGAUAAGCUUCGGGGAGUUGCACGUAAACUUUGAUCCGAAGAUUUCCGAAUGAGGAAACUCACUUAGAGUAAUGUCUAAGUAUCAUUAAGUGAAUACAUAGCUUAAUGAGGGGAACUCAGGGAACUGAAACAUCUAAGUACCUGAAGGAAGAGAAAGAAAUUCGAUUCCGUAAGUAGCGGCGAGCGAACGCGGAUUAGCCCAAACCAAUAAAGUUUUCUUUAUUGGGGUUGCGGACAUAUCAUAACGAAGAGGUAUCGUAAUUGAAGAGGUUUGGAAAGACCCACCACAGAAGGUAAUAGUCCUGUAUGUUAAACGAGAAGACUUCAGAUAUGAUCCAGAGUACCACGGGACACGUGAAACCCUGUGGGAAGCAGGAGGGACCACCCUCCAAGGCUAAAUACUACCUAGUGACCGAUAGCGUAUAGUACCGUGAGGGAAAGGUGAAAAGAACCCCGGGAGGGGAGUGAAAUAGAACCUGAAACCCUGCACUUACAAGCUGUGGAAGCACAUUUCUUGUGUGACCGCGUACUUUUUGUAGAACGGGCCAACGAGUUACGUUAAGUAGCAAGGUUAAGCACUUAAGGUGCGGAGCCGUAGCGAAAGCGAGUUUUAACUGAGCGUUCAGUUACUUGACGUAGACCCGAAACCGGGCGACCUACCCAUGAGCAGGAUGAAGCGAAAGUAAAAUUUCGUGGAGGUCCGAACCCACGAGCGUUGAAAAGCUCGGGGAUGACUUGUGGGUAGCGGUGAAAUUCCAAUCGAGCCCGGAGAUAGCUGGUUCUCCCCGAAAUAGCUUUAGGGCUAGCCUCAAGGUGAGAGAUACGGAGGUAGAGCACUGAAUGUCCUAGGGGGUAUUGCACCUACCGAAGACUAUCAAACUCCGAAUGCCGUCAUCUUAUACUUGGGAGUCAGACUGUGGGUGAUAAGAUUCAUAGUCGAAAGGGCAACAGCCCAGAUCGUCAGCUAAGGUCCCUAAAUGUAAGUUAAGUGGUAAAGGAUGUGGGAUUGCACAGACAACCAGGAUGUUGGCUUAGAAGCAGCCACUCAUUCAAAGAGUGCGUAAUAGCUCACUGGUCGAGUGAUCCUGCGCCGAAGAUUUCCGGGGCUAAAACUUACUACCGAAGCUACGGCAUCAGUAAUGAUGGGUAGGGGAGCUUCCCAUACGGGUUGAAGCAUGACCGUAAGGACAUGUGGACAGUAUGGGAGUGAGAAUGUUGGCAUGAGUAGCGAGAUGUGGGUGAGAAUCCCACAGGCCGUAAACCCAAGGUUUCCAGGGGAAGGUUCGUCCGCCCUGGGUUAGUCGGGACCUAAGCUGAGGCCGAAAGGCGUAGGUGAUGGACAACAGGUUGAUAUUCCUGUACUACCGAUAACCGUUUGAGAGAAGGGAUGACACAGUAGGAUAAGCUAAGCACACUGUUGGUUAUGUGUGCCCAAGCAUUGAGGCAGUCAAAGCAGGCAAAUCCGCUUUGAUAAUGCUGGGAUGUGAUGGGGAGCGAAAUUUAGUAGCGAAGUAGCUGAUUUCACACUGUCAAGAAAAGUCUCUAUCGAGGUUAAAGGUACCCGUACCGCAAACCGACACAGGUGGGUGAGGAGAGUAUCCUAAGGCCAGCGAGAGAACUGUUGUUAAGGAACUCGGCAAAAUGACCCCGUAACUUAGGAAUAAGGGGUGCCACCAUCCGGUGGCCGCAGAGAAUAGGCCCAAGCGACUGUUUACCAAAAACAUAGGUUUCUGCUAAGUCGCAAGACGAUGUAUAGGAGCUGACGCCUGCCCGGUGCUGGAAGGUUAAGGGGAUCUGUUAGAGCAAUCGAAGCAGUGAACUUAAGCCCCAGUAAACGGCGGCCGUAACUAUAACGGUCCUAAGGUAGCGAAAUUCCUUGUCGGGUAAGUUCCGACCCGCACGAAAGGCGUAACGAUUUGGGCACUGUCUCAACAACAGACUCGGUGAAAUUGUAAUUCCGGUGAAGAUGCCGGAUACCUGCGACAGGACGGAAAGACCCCAUGGAGCUUUACUGUAGCUUGACAUUGGGUCUUGGUACUACAUGUACAGGAUAGGUGGGAGGCUUUGAAACCAGGACGCCAGUUUUGGCGGAGCCAUCCUUGGGAUACCACCCUUGUAGUACUGGGACUCUAACCAUAGGCCAUGAAUCUGGUCUUGGGACACUGUCAGGUGGGCAGUUUGACUGGGGCGGUCGCCUCCCAAAAGGUAACGGAGGCGCUCAAAGGUUCUCUCAGUACGGUCGGAAAUCGUACGUAGAGUGUAAAGGCAAAAGAGAGCUUGAUUGCAAGACAUACAGGUCGAGCAAGGAUGAAAAUCGGACUUAGUGAUCCGGUGGUUCUGCGUGGAAGGGCCAUCGCUCAACGGAUAAAAGCUACCCUGGGGAUAACAGGCUUAUCUCCCCCAAGAGUCCACAUCGACGGGGAGGUUUGGCACCUCGAUGUCGGCUCAUCACAUCCUGGGGCUGUAGUAGGUCCCAAGGGUUGGGCUGUUCGCCCAUUAAAGUGGUACGCGAGCUGGGUUCAGAACGUCGUGAGACAGUUCGGUCCCUAUCCGUCGCAGGCGUAGGAAAUUUGAGAAGACCUGUCCUUAGUACGAGAGGACCGGGAUGGACGUACCUCUGGUGUACCAGUUGUCCUGCCAAGGGCAUGGCUGGGUAGCUAUGUACGGAAUGGAUAAGCGCUGAAAGCAUCUAAGCGCGAAGCCAACUUCAAGAUAAGAUUUCCCACCGCAAGGGUAAGACCCCAGAAAGACUAUCUGGUUGAUAGGUCGAAGGUGUAAGUGCAGCAAUGUAUUUAGCUUAUCGAUACUAAUAGGUCGAGGACUUGACCAA
RNAcentral lists this ribosomal RNA (2896 nucleotides) under Clostridioides difficile. RNAcentral's name for it is "bacterial LSU rRNA". It matches the Rfam family "Bacterial large subunit ribosomal RNA". Lineage: Bacteria; Bacillati; Bacillota; Clostridia; Peptostreptococcales; Peptostreptococcaceae. The record is from RNAcentral.